This 1221-nucleotide long non-coding RNA is filed under the name Felis catus (domestic cat). RNAcentral's name for it is "lncRNA (ENSFCAG00000052351.1)". Lineage: Eukaryota; Metazoa; Chordata; Mammalia; Carnivora; Felidae. The record is from RNAcentral.
CCUAGAAUUUUGAAAUCACGAAAUGUAGAAUGAAUUUAUUUCUGUUUCAGCCUUCACGUGGACACAGUGUUUCUAGUUUAUGGUUUUAUAUAAUGUUUAGUAUGAAUUAUUUAUGUGAUGAUUAGCAUGAAUAUUUUAUAUCAGUGUGAUGGGUAUCAAAAUCUCGUCUGUGCUUAGGGCCUCCAACAGUCUUCAUCUGGCCCUGAGCAUCUGGCGGCUCUUCUAUCCUGCCACCCGUCCGUCGUGUGCAAAACCCCUCCUCGGACUGUCCUUGUGCCCCACAUCCCACAAAUGCAGACCCCUCUUCGGAAGGGUAGAGGAUGCACAGGACCGUUGCCAAAAGCAGGCCUGAUCAGGUACAGCCUCGCCCACUGAACCGCCUCUUCCUGUCCACUGCAGUGAAGGAAAUGUUAAGUUCCAGAUGGUGCAGCUGCAAAAUGGGGGAAUGUCCAACAUUCUGGGUACCUGAGGAUCAAUGACACACAUUGGACAUGAGCAGGAACUUGGGUGUUGAGUCUCAAAUUUGAGAUCAACCGUUACCACAGCAAAACCAGCCUAUGCUGCUGGCUAACAUACCAGCCCAGUAAGAGUACUCCCUGAGACUUCCCAGAGCUCUCAGAAAAGGCUCCACAUCUCUCUUUCUCCGGCACUGUAAGCACAUUUUGAGACAUCUUCAGCCUGGAACUUCCAACAGCCAUCUUGUCAUCGUGAAGUGAGGGUUUAUCUGAAAAGAAAGCCACUCAGGAGCGAGAGAUGAAGAAAAAAGAAUCUUGUCGACUUUGUUUGAAUUCUUGGAUACAUUCGGGCACAAAGUCUACCUGACCCUUUGAAUCUCUCCACAAUGUGAGAGAGACAUUUCCAUUUUUGCUUAAACUAAUCUGAACUGUGUUUCUGCCCUUUGCAGUGGCAAGAAUGCUCCCAAUCCCUCUCAUCUGAUGGACUCAUGUGGCAACAUAGAAUUAUCCUUGCCACAGAAAGCCAGACCCCUGAAUAUCAGAGUGGGUCCCUCAACACAAUUUGCUGCCACUAGAGACUAUAAUUCUGUAUUCUAUAUGCAUGUCCCCCAUUGAAGUAUAAUUACAUCCCUCUUUCCCAUUUCCAGAGAAGGAAGGGUGUGUGACCGUUAGGAGCAGGGAGACAACAUAAUCAUCCAAUCACUAAAGGGAAGAAUUCACAGUGAUCAAAAAUAAAACAAAGGGAAAGUGAAUUAUUGAUGAUUUC